Molecule: ribosomal RNA, 197 nt
Filed under: uncultured bacterium
Lineage: Bacteria
Description: partial 16S ribosomal RNA
Rfam family: Bacterial small subunit ribosomal RNA
Source: RNAcentral
GAUCGGAGUCUGCAACCCGACUCCGUGAAGCUGGAUUCGCUAGUAAUCGCGCAUCAGCCAUGGCGCGGUGAAUACGUUCCCGGGCCUUGUACACACCGCCCGUCAAGCCAUGGGAGCCGGGGGUGCUUGAAGUGCGUCGCCGCAAGGCGCGCCCUAGAGCAAAACCGGUGACUGGGGCUAAGUCGUAACAAGGUAUC